Molecule: ribosomal RNA, 2905 nt
Filed under: Escherichia coli
Lineage: Bacteria; Pseudomonadati; Pseudomonadota; Gammaproteobacteria; Enterobacterales; Enterobacteriaceae
Description: bacterial LSU rRNA
Rfam family: Bacterial large subunit ribosomal RNA
Source: RNAcentral
UUAAGCGACUAAGCGUACACGGUGGAUGCCCUGGCAGUCAGAGGCGAUGAAGGACGUGCUAAUCUGCGAUAAGCGUCGGUAAGGUGAUAUGAACCGUUAUAACCGGCGAUUUCCGAAUGGGGAAACCCAGUGUGUUUCGACACACUAUCAUUAACUGAAUCCAUAGGUUAAUGAGGCGAACCGGGGGAACUGAAACAUCUAAGUACCCCGAGGAAAAGAAAUCAACCGAGAUUCCCCCAGUAGCGGCGAGCGAACGGGGAGCAGCCCAGAGCCUGAAUCAGUGUGUGUGUUAGUGGAAGCGUCUGGAAAGGCGCGCGAUACAGGGUGACAGCCCCGUACACAAAAAUGCACAUGCUGUGAGCUCGAUGAGUAGGGCGGGACACGUGGUAUCCUGUCUGAAUAUGGGGGGACCAUCCUCCAAGGCUAAAUACUCCUGACUGACCGAUAGUGAACCAGUACCGUGAGGGAAAGGCGAAAAGAACCCCGGCGAGGGGAGUGAAAAAGAACCUGAAACCGUGUACGUACAAGCAGUGGGAGCACGCUUCGGCGUGUGACUGCGUACCUUUUGUAUAAUGGGUCAGCGACUUAUAUUCUGUAGCAAGGUUAACCGAAUAGGGGAGCCGAAGGGAAACCGAGUCUUAACUGGGCGUUAAGUUGCAGGGUAUAGACCCGAAACCCGGUGAUCUAGCCAUGGGCAGGUUGAAGGUUGGGUAACACUAACUGGAGGACCGAACCGACUAAUGUUGAAAAAUUAGCGGAUGACUUGUGGCUGGGGGUGAAAGGCCAAUCAAACCGGGAGAUAGCUGGUUCUCCCCGAAAGCUAUUUAGGUAGCGCCUCGUGAAUUCAUCUCCGGGGGUAGAGCACUGUUUCGGCAAGGGGGUCAUCCCGACUUACCAACCCGAUGCAAACUGCGAAUACCGGAGAAUGUUAUCACGGGAGACACACGGCGGGUGCUAACGUCCGUCGUGAAGAGGGAAACAACCCAGACCGCCAGCUAAGGUCCCAAAGUCAUGGUUAAGUGGGAAACGAUGUGGGAAGGCCCAGACAGCCAGGAUGUUGGCUUAGAAGCAGCCAUCAUUUAAAGAAAGCGUAAUAGCUCACUGGUCGAGUCGGCCUGCGCGGAAGAUGUAACGGGGCUAAACCAUGCACCGAAGCUGCGGCAGCGACGCUGAUGCGUUGUUGGGUAGGGGAGCGUUCUGUAAGCCUGUGAAGGUGUGCUGUGAGGCAUGCUGGAGGUAUCAGAAGUGCGAAUGCUGACAUAAGUAACGAUAAAGCGGGUGAAAAGCCCGCUCGCCGGAAGACCAAGGGUUCCUGUCCAACGUUAAUCGGGGCAGGGUGAGUCGACCCCUAAGGCGAGGCCGAAAGGCGUAGUCGAUGGGAAACAGGUUAAUAUUCCUGUACUUGGUGUUACUGCGAAGGGGGGACGGAGAAGGCUAUGUUGGCCGGGCGACGGUUGUCCCGGUUUAAGCGUGUAGGCUGGUUUUCCAGGCAAAUCCGGAAAAUCAAGGCUGAGGCGUGAUGACGAGGCACUACGGUGCUGAAGCAACAAAUGCCCUGCUUCCAGGAAAAGCCUCUAAGCAUCAGGUAACAUCAAAUCGUACCCCAAACCGACACAGGUGGUCAGGUAGAGAAUACCAAGGCGCUUGAGAGAACUCGGGUGAAGGAACUAGGCAAAAUGGUGCCGUAACUUCGGGAGAAGGCACGCUGAUAUGUAGGUGAAGNNNNNNNNNNNNNNUGGAGCUGAAAUCAGUCGAAGAUACCAGCUGGCUGCAACUGUUUAUUAAAAACACAGCACUGUGCAAACACGAAAGUGGACGUAUACGGUGUGACGCCUGCCCGGUGCCGGAAGGUUAAUUGAUGGGGUUAGCGCAAGCGAAGCUCUUGAUCGAAGCCCCGGUAAACGGCGGCCGUAACUAUAACGGUCCUAAGGUAGCGAAAUUCCUUGUCGGGUAAGUUCCGACCUGCACGAAUGGCGUAAUGAUGGCCAGGCUGUCUCCACCCGAGACUCAGUGAAAUUGAACUCGCUGUGAAGAUGCAGUGUACCCGCGGCAAGACGGAAAGACCCCGUGAACCUUUACUAUAGCUUGACACUGAACAUUGAGCCUUGAUGUGUAGGAUAGGUGGGAGGCUUUGAAGUGUGGACGCCAGUCUGCAUGGAGCCGACCUUGAAAUACCACCCUUUAAUGUUUGAUGUUCUAACGUUGACCCGUAAUCCGGGUUGCGGACAGUGUCUGGUGGGUAGUUUGACUGGGGCGGUCUCCUCCUAAAGAGUAACGGAGGAGCACGAAGGUUGGCUAAUCCUGGUCGGACAUCAGGAGGUUAGUGCAAUGGCAUAAGCCAGCUUGACUGCGAGCGUGACGGCGCGAGCAGGUGCGAAAGCAGGUCAUAGUGAUCCGGUGGUUCUGAAUGGAAGGGCCAUCGCUCAACGGAUAAAAGGUACUCCGGGGAUAACAGGCUGAUACCGCCCAAGAGUUCAUAUCGACGGCGGUGUUUGGCACCUCGAUGUCGGCUCAUCACAUCCUGGGGCUGAAGUAGGUCCCAAGGGUAUGGCUGUUCGCCAUUUAAAGUGGUACGCGAGCUGGGUUUAGAACGUCGUGAGACAGUUCGGUCCCUAUCUGCCGUGGGCGCUGGAGAACUGAGGGGGGCUGCUCCUAGUACGAGAGGACCGGAGUGGACGCAUCACUGGUGUUCGGGUUGUCAUGCCAAUGGCACUGCCCGGUAGCUAAAUGCGGAAGAGAUAAGUGCUGAAAGCAUCUAAGCACGAAACUUGCCCCGAGAUGAGUUCUCCCUGACCCUUUAAGGGUCCUGAAGGAACGUUGAAGACGACGACGUUGAUAGGCCGGGUGUGUAAGCGCAGCGAUGCGUUGAGCUAACCGGUACUAAUGAACCGUGAGGCUUAACCUU